Molecule: ribosomal RNA, 373 nt
Filed under: uncultured Serratia sp.
Lineage: Bacteria; Pseudomonadati; Pseudomonadota; Gammaproteobacteria; Enterobacterales; Yersiniaceae
Description: bacterial SSU rRNA
Rfam family: Bacterial small subunit ribosomal RNA
Source: RNAcentral
UAAUACGAAGGGGCUAGCGUUGUUCGGAAUUACUGGGCGUAAAGCGCACGCAGGCGGUUUGUUAAGUCAGAUGUGAAAUCCCCGGGCUCAACCUGGGAACUGCAUUUGAAACUGGCAAGCUAGAGUCUCGUAGAGGGGGUAGAAUUCCAGGUGUAGCGGUGAAAUGCGUAGAGAUCUGGAGGAAUACCGGUGGCGAAGGCGGCCCCCUGGACGAAGACUGACGCUCAGGUGCGAAAGCGUGGGGAGCAAACAGGAUUAGAUACCCUGGUAGUCCACGCUGUAAACGAUGUCGAUUUGGAGGUUGUGCCCUUGAGGCGUGGCUUCCGGAGCUAACGCGUUAAAUCGACCGCCUGGGGAGUACGGCCGCAAGGUU